This 497-nucleotide ribosomal RNA is filed under the name uncultured bacterium. Its description in RNAcentral is "partial 16S ribosomal RNA". It matches the Rfam family "Bacterial small subunit ribosomal RNA", at positions 28 to 507 of the family's 1533-position model. The record is from RNAcentral.
GAUGAACGCUGGCGGCGUGCCUAAUACAUGCAAGUCGAGCGAACAGACGAGGAGCUUGCUCCUCUGACGUUAGCGGCUGACGGGUGAGUAACACGUGGAUAACCUACCUAUAAGACUUGGAUAACUUCGUGAAACCGGAGCUAAUACCGGAUAAUAUAUUGAACCGCAUGGUUCAAUAGUGAAAGACGGUUUUGCUGUCACUUAUAGAUGGAUCCGCGCCGCAUUAGCUAGUUGGUAAGGUAACGGCUUACCAAGGCAACGAUGCGUAGCCGACCUGAGAGGGUGAUCGGCCACACUGGAACUGAGACACGGUCCAGACUCCUACGGGAGGCAGCAGUAGGGAAUCUUCCGCAAUGGGCGAAAGCCUGACGGAGCAACGCCGCGUGAGUGAUGAAGGUCUUCGGAUCGUAAAACUCUGUUAUUAGGGAAGAACAAAUGUGUAAGUAACUAUGCACGUCUUGACGGUACCUAAUCAGAAAGCCACGGCUAACUACGUG